GCCUUUCACAGUGCCGUUCAGCGUCCUGAAUGUCAGAUGGCUGGGUGUGUGGAGCUGUUGUCCCACCCAGGUCAGAAGCGUGGCCUCCGUGAUCAGUGUGGCAGAACUAAAUACCCGUGGCAGUUGCAAUACAGCAUUACACAGGAGUGGCGAUUGAUUCCAACAAGCAACCAGGAUGGAGAGCUAUGGAAAGAGACAUUUUUAUUCAGUGUGCGGAAACCAAGGUGAAGGGACAAUAAUGGGUCCAGGCUCUUUCACAAGCCCUCCUAGCUCCUGGGAAUCCCAGCUCCUUCCUGCCUCACACUUGUCGUCCUAGAAGUCUCCGUGUGAACAUCCCUUCCUAGGAAGCCUUUCCUGCCCCGUUAUUACUUUCCAAACUCGCCUUCCUUCCCUCAAGCCACUUCCCACAAUUGUACCCAAACUGCAACCUGUGUGAUCGGACUGUUUACCUUCCUGCUGGGCUGGGGAGGCCCUGUGGGCAGGGAGCUCCCUGCCUAUUCACCACCAAACCACCAGAGCUG
Bos indicus x Bos taurus (hybrid cattle) is the source of this 521-nucleotide long non-coding RNA. NCBI's taxonomy places the organism in Eukaryota, Metazoa, Chordata, Mammalia, Artiodactyla, Bovidae. The record is from Ensembl.